GUUUGUUCUCGGGUCAGAGUGUACGCUGGGGGCAGACSUAACACACACAAAUSGAACGGUAGCACAGAGGAACCUGCUCCUUGGGUGACGAGUGGCGGACGGGUGAGUAAUGUCUGGGAAACUGCCCGAUGGAGGGGGAUAACUACUGGAAACGGUAGCUAAUACCGCAUAACGUCGCAAGACCAAAGAGGGGGACCUUCGGGCCUCUUGCCAUCGGAUGUGCCCAGAUGGGAUUAGCUAGUUGGUGAGGUAAUGGCUCACCAAGGCGACGAUCCCUAGCUGGUCUGAGAGGAUGACCAGCCACACUGGAACUGAGACACGGUCCAGACUCCUACGGGAGGCAGCAGUGGGGAAUAUUGCACAAUGGGCGCAAGCCUGAUGCAGCCAUGCCGCGUGUGUGAAGAAGGCCUUCGGGUUGUAAAGCACUUUCAGCGGGGAGGAAGGCAAUACGGUUAAUAACCGUGUUGAUGAAGUAC
This 476-nucleotide ribosomal RNA is filed under the name Phytobacter sp. Its description in RNAcentral is "bacterial SSU rRNA". It matches the Rfam family "Bacterial small subunit ribosomal RNA", at positions 11 to 493 of the family's 1533-position model. Lineage: Bacteria; Pseudomonadati; Pseudomonadota; Gammaproteobacteria; Enterobacterales; Enterobacteriaceae. The record is from RNAcentral.